GUGGGGAAUAUUGGACAAUGGGCGCAAGCCUGAUCCAGCAAUGCCGCGUGGGUGAAGAAGGUCUUCGGAUCGUAAAGCCCUUUCGACAGGGACGAUGAUGACGGUACCUGUAGAAGAAGCCCCGGCUAUCUUCGUGCCAGCAGCCGCGGUAAUACGAAGGGGGCUAGCGUUACUCGGAAUUACUGGGCGUAAAGGGCGCGGAGGCGGCUCUGUUAGUCAGGCGUGAAAUUCCUGGGCUUAACCUGGGGACUGCGCUUGAUACUGCAGGGCUUGAGGCCGAGCGAGGGUGGUGGAAUUCCCAGUGUAGAGGUGAAAUUCGUAGAUAUUGGGAAGAACACCGGUGGCGAAGGCGACCACCUGGCUCGGUUCUGACGCUGAGGCGCGACAGCGUGGGGAGCAAACAGGAUUAGAUACCCGUGUAGUCC
Molecule: ribosomal RNA, 425 nt
Filed under: uncultured bacterium
Lineage: Bacteria
Description: partial 16S ribosomal RNA
Rfam family: Bacterial small subunit ribosomal RNA
Source: RNAcentral